This 460-nucleotide ribosomal RNA is filed under the name uncultured bacterium. Its description in RNAcentral is "partial 16S ribosomal RNA". It matches the Rfam family "Bacterial small subunit ribosomal RNA", at positions 338 to 795 of the family's 1533-position model. The record is from RNAcentral.
CCUACGGGGGGCAGCAGUGAGGAAUAUUGGUCAAUGGACGAGAGUCUGAACCAGCCAAGUAGCGUGAAGGAUGACUGCCCUAUGGGUUGUAAACUUCUUUUAUAUGGGAAUAAAAUGUUCCACGUGUGGGAUUUUGUAUGUACCAUAUGAAUAAGGAUCGGCUAACUCCGUGCCAGCAGCCGCGGUAAUACGGAGGAUCCGAGCGUUCUCCGGAUUUAUUGGGUUUAAAGGGAGCGUAGGUGGAUUGUUAAGUCAGUUGUGAAAGUUUGCGGCUCAACCGUAAAAUUGCAGUUGAAACUGGCAGUCUUGAGUACAGUAGAGGUGGGCGGAAUUCGUGGUGUAGCGGUGAAAUGCUUAGAUAUCACGAAGAACUCCGAUUGCGAAGGCAGUUCACUGGACUGCAACUGACACUGAGGCUCGAAAGUGUGGGUAUCAAACAGGAUUAGAUACCCCAGUAGUC